This 120-nucleotide ribosomal RNA is filed under the name uncultured bacterium. RNAcentral's name for it is "partial 16S ribosomal RNA". It matches the Rfam family "Bacterial small subunit ribosomal RNA", at positions 29 to 161 of the family's 1533-position model. The record is from RNAcentral.
AACGAACGCUGGCGGCAGGCCUAACACAUGCAAGUCGAGCGCACCUUCGGGUGAGCGGCGGACGGGUGAGUAUCGCGUGGGAACGUGCCCUUCUCUACGGAAUAGUCCUGGGAAACUGGG